CACCAGAUGAAACUAGAUACAAGCGAGCGGCGGACGGGUGAGUAACACGUGGGUAACCUGCCUAAGAGACUGGGAUAACACCUGGAAACAGAUGCUAAUACCGGAUAACAACACUAGACGCAUGUCUAGAGUUUAAAAGAUGGUUCUGCUAUCACUCUUGGAUGGACCUGCGGUGCAUUGGCUAGUUGGUAAGGCAACGGCUUACCAAGGCAAUGAUGCAUAGCCGAGUUGAGAGACUGAUCGGCCACAUUGGGACUGAGACACGGCCCAAACUCCUACGGGAGGCAGCAGUAGGGAAUCUUCCACAAUGGACGCAAGUCUGAUGGAGCAACGCCGCGUGAGUGAAGAAGGGUUUCGGCUCGUAAAGCUCUGUUGGUAGUGAAGAAAGAUAGAGGUAGUAACUGGCCUUUAUUUGACGGUAAUUACUUAGAAAGUCACGGCUAACUACGUGCCAGCAGCCGCGGUAAUACGUAGGUGGCAAGCGUUGUCCGGAUUUAUUGGGCGUAAAGCGAGUGCAGGCGGUUCAAUAAGUCUGAUGUGAAAGCCUUCGGCUCAACCGGAGAAUUGCAUCAGAAACUGUUGAACUUGAGUGCAGAAGAGGAGAGUGGAACUCCAUGUGUAGCGGUGGAAUGCGUAGAUAUAUGGAAGAACACCAGUGGCGAAGGCGGCUCUCUGGUCUGCAACU
RNAcentral lists this ribosomal RNA (685 nucleotides) under uncultured Bacilli bacterium. RNAcentral describes it as "bacterial SSU rRNA". It matches the Rfam family "Bacterial small subunit ribosomal RNA", at positions 78 to 741 of the family's 1533-position model. Lineage: Bacteria; Bacillati; Bacillota; Bacilli. The record is from RNAcentral.